GAUGAACGCUGGCGGCGUGCCUAAUACAUGCAAGUCGAGCGAACAGACGAGGAGCUUGCUCCUCUGACGUUAGCGGCGGACGGGUGAGUAACACGUGGAUAACCUACCUAUAAGACUGGGAUAACUUCGGGAAACCGGAGCUAAUACCGGAUAAUAUAUUGAACCGCAUGGUUCAAUAGUGAAAGACGGUUUUGCUGUCACUUAUAGAUGGAUCCGCGCCGCAUUAGCUAGUUGGUAAGGUAACGGCUUACCAAGGCAACGAUGCGUAGCCGACCUGAGAGGGUGAGUGGACACACUGGAACUGAGACACGGUCCAGACUCUGACGGGAGGCAGCAGUAGGGAAUCUUCCGCAAUGGGCGAAAGCCUGACGGAGCAACGCCGCGUGAGUGAUGAAGGUCUUCGGAUCGUAAAACUCUGUUAUUAGGGAAGAACAAAUGUGUAAGUAACUAUGCACGUCUUGACGGUACCUAAUCAGAAAGCCACGGCUAACUACGUG
This 497-nucleotide ribosomal RNA is filed under the name uncultured bacterium. RNAcentral's name for it is "partial 16S ribosomal RNA". It matches the Rfam family "Bacterial small subunit ribosomal RNA", at positions 28 to 507 of the family's 1533-position model. The record is from RNAcentral.